Molecule: ribosomal RNA, 901 nt
Filed under: Cytospora fraxinigena
Lineage: Eukaryota; Fungi; Ascomycota; Sordariomycetes; Diaporthales; Cytosporaceae
Description: eukaryotic LSU rRNA
Rfam family: Eukaryotic large subunit ribosomal RNA
Source: RNAcentral
CCCGCUGAACUUAAGCAUAUCAAUAAGCGGAGGAAAAGAAACCAACAGGGAUUGCCCCUAGUAACGCGAGUGAAGCGGCAACAGCUCAAAUUUGAAAGCUGGCUUAGGCCCGCAUUGUAAUUUGCAGAGGAUGCUUUUGGUGAGGUGCCUUCCGAGUUCCCUGGAACGGGACGCCAUAGAGGGUGAGAGCCCCGUAUGGAUGGACACCAAACCUGUGUAAAGCUCCUUCAACGAGUCGAGUAGUUUGGGAAUGCUGCUCAAAAUGGGAGGUAAAUCUCUUCUAAAGCUAAAUACCGGCCAGAGACCGAUAGCGCACAAGUAGAGUGAUCGAAAGAUGAAAAGCACCUUGAAAAGGGGGUUAAACAGUACGUGAAAUUGUUGAAAGGGAAGCGCUUGUGACCAGACUUGCGCCGGGCAGCUCAUCAGGGGUUCUCCCCUGUGCACUCUGCCCGGCUCAGGCCAGCAUCGGUUCUCGUGGGAGGAUAAGAACAGUAGGAAUGUGGCCCCCUCUCGGGGGGGUGUUAUAGCCUAUUGUACGAUACUCUCGUGGGGACCGAGGUUCGCGCUCCGCAAGGAUGCUGGCGUAAUGGUCAUCAGCGACCCGUCUUGAAACACGGACCAAGGAGUCGUCCAUUAGAGCGAGCGUUUGGGUGUAAAACCCGCACGCGUAAUGAAAGUGAACGCAGGUGAGAGCUUCGGCGCAUCAUCGACCGAUCCUGAUGUCUUCGGAUGGAUUUGAGUAAGAGUUUUAACGGACGGACCCGAAAGACAGUGAACUAUGCUUGUAUAGGGUGAAGCCAGAGGAAACUCUGGUGGAGGCUCGCAGCGGUUCUGACGUGCAAAUCGAUCGUCAAAUAUGAGCAUGGGGGCCGAAACCACUAAUCGAAUUUUCCCCCCCCGU